This 1601-nucleotide long non-coding RNA is filed under the name Homo sapiens (human). RNAcentral's name for it is "HSALNT0348324". The record is from RNAcentral. Lineage: Eukaryota; Metazoa; Chordata; Mammalia; Primates; Hominidae.
GUGACGCGCUGCCCGCCAGGCUGCGGGGGUCGCGGGGCGUCCGCGUGGGCCAGCGGAGGCCCACAGCUGCGGAGGGAAACCACUGGGAGGGGAGAAGGAGCUCUAGGGAGAGCGAGGCUGCAACGAGGGGAGAGCCGGGCGACGGGCAGGGGCCCAGGCGCGCUCCCCGACUUCCCACAGGCGCGCGCAUGCCUGCGUGUCAGGGCGCGCGCUCCCCCUCUCGGACCGAGGCGACCCCAGUCCGUGAGCGGCUUGGAUCCUCGCCCGUUCCCUCCUGGUCGUUUCCGCAGUAACCUCUUAUCAGAGCGGGCAGCUGUGAGUGGCGCUCACAUCCGCCGCUGCCCUGUCGAAUGGGGGAAAGAGUUCUUGUGUUCUGAGGAGGGUUUGGCUAUGGUCCUUGACCCUAUUCUUGUCUCAGACUUGCCUCCCAGAGGUCCUUUAUCGAGUGCCAGGCAUUGGUCUAGGGGCAUUUGAAAAAGAUUCACUGAAGGACAUUUUUAAGAGUUCGCUUUCUCAGAGGGCAGCUUCUCAAACUCAUUCGCUGGUUUCUUUUCCUCUUUCCGCCUGUUUAAGGAAUAUAGGAGGAUUGUAUGCCCUGGCCUCCCUGUGAUGGGGUUGAACUACAUGACAUGUUCUCCGAAUUAAGUGUGAGCAUAGCAUUUAAUUGUUGAUGCAAGACCUUCCAGAACUCUUUUUCUCUUUGCCAUGGCAAUCAUCAGUGUUCCAGAGAGCAUAUGCACGAUCAGCCUUGGUAUUGGAGGGAAGAUGAUGCGGAACAGAGUCCCAGUCACAUCAUGAAGGACAUGUAAAAUGCUGUAGAAGAACCUCUUCUGCAAGACCAUUCAUUCAUGCCUUGAGACAGUAUGAAUCAAGCUGACUUUUUUUUUUUCCAAGGAGUUUUUAAACUAUAUAUGUGACACCCCGAUGAAUAAGAAGAGCAGCCAGCUGAGAAGGGGAACUCUACAAAGCUAUUUUUUCAACAGCUGUGACUGACCCACUCACCUCACAGGACUCCAGUGGGCACUAAUGGAAAUGGAGAGAAAGACAAACAAGAUGACCCUGUUAGCUCCCUGUGUACUGCAGAUGUGGUGUAGGCUGUGCUCCGAACUUAGAGAGAAGAAGGAAGAGAGGACAACCCCUCUAUCCCCAAAUUCUCUUCCAACCCUGUUCUGCCAGCCAUCUGAUUGGAAGCAAGAGGGAAGGGAGGCCUGUGGUGACCUCUCUCUUGACAACAGGGGAAAACCUGACCCUAGAAAAAUCAGCUCAAUCAAUAUCAUGUGAUCUUAUCAAAGCAAGCAACCCUACUCCCUAAACUGGUGGAAACGGUGUGAAUGUCAACUAGAGUUCUAUACUUUAAAAACAACAAAAAUAUUGCAAAUUUUGAGUAUCCUUCCUAAAGAAAACAACAUAUUGUAAUCUUGUUUUCUGUUAGAUAAAUCUCUGUUAAAAAGAAGCUUUGUUGGAACUCUCAAGUCUCUAAAAAAUAAAUCAGCCAUCUUUUGAUUGCUUAGGGACCCAUGAAAAAGUCUGAGCACACACGCAUUCUUUACGAUGAGUCUCUGGCACUAAACCAGAGCCCUAGUGAGUGAGGCUGAGUCAUG